Molecule: long non-coding RNA, 393 nt
Organism: Stegodyphus dumicola
Lineage: Eukaryota; Metazoa; Arthropoda; Arachnida; Araneae; Eresidae
Source: RefSeq, a predicted model, not a curated record
CGUGGACACCUAAAUCAAAUGUGGGUUUUUGCAGAAGUCCAAAUUAUAGUAGUCCGGUCGAACGAUAUUCUCCUCGUUGUACGCCACCUUUUCAUCAAAAUUCCUCCAAGCCAUUCAAUCGUUCUUCUAAUACUCGCGAGCAAAUAAGUAGCGGAUCUAAUUUAUCCUUCAGUCCUGACAGCAACAGUUCCAGUUAUUUCGGAGAUGUUUCGCGAGGCAGUCCUUAUAGUUUGCAAUACAAGAAUCGAAGGUUUCAGACAAAACGUCCCCUAGAAUGUUACCUCAUGGUGCCAAGGGUGUGAGCACUCCUGGUUGGGAACCCUUGCAGUCAGAGACGGAUUUACAUAUAAGCUACACAAGCUAUAGCUUAGGGGCCCCCCAAAAAAUUAAAUG